UCGAUGUUGGAUCGGGGUAUCCUAGUGGUGCAGCCGCUACUAAAGGUUCGUUUGUUCAACGAUUAAAACCCCACGUGAUCUGAGUUCAGACCGGAGUAAUCCAGGUCAGUUUCUAUCUAUUAAGAGCUUUUUUUAGUACGAAAGGACCUAAACAGCAUAGCCAAUACCCUCUGUAAGCUAUAGUUAAUUACUUUUGACCCACACUCAAAAAAUUAUUGACCUCACCUCACCCUCAAGAAAAGAGC
This 245-nucleotide ribosomal RNA is filed under the name Pristimantis ornatissimus. RNAcentral describes it as "partial 16S ribosomal RNA". The stretch from base 1 to 126 matches the Rfam family "Bacterial large subunit ribosomal RNA", at positions 2526 to 2651 of the family's 2925-position model. Lineage: Eukaryota; Metazoa; Chordata; Amphibia; Anura; Strabomantidae. The record is from RNAcentral.